UUAAAUAUUGACUCAACAAAUUGCUUUCAAAUAAUUAUCCCCAAACAAAAAGAUGCAUUGGGGUAAUUUUAGCUUAUGGUCCAAAGGUAAAAUUAAAAAUAUAUAUUCUCUGAACAUAUUAAAUUGUGUUCAGCCAAUUAAUCAAGUAAAAGUGAAAUAUCUGUGUUUGCUGAACAAGCCUUGCGGAGAAAAAAACGCACCUGAGAGAAACCGUUGGUAAUGGUAUAACUUAGUGGAUUCAAAUAUAUCUGCGCGGGAGAGAUGAGGAGACUGAGGAGUCGAUGCUGAAGUACGACGACAGAAGUUCAGACAUCAUUUCCAAACAGAUUUUUCUUCAUUUAAGUUAUGCCAAACAUCCUAGGUCUGACUCAACGGAACGACUAAUGUUACGACUUUCACAGUUUAAAGGAAGUCCAUGCAGUGCUGCUUCUGCAAGUUUUCAUCACCUCACCAAGACCUAAUUUUCAAGCACUACAGAACUUGCAAUUGGUCAGUUAAUGCAACUUCCUUUCCAUGUUUACACCUAGAAUGUGUUUGCAUUUUCAAGACAAUUGGAGAUUUAAAAACAUUUGUGGAGGGUACAUCCAAAGACUGGCAACAAGGGGAAUACCACAUUUUCUUGUGAUUUUAGGGAAAUCUGCUCUCAAUCAACAUUUCUUCACCAUUUAAGAGGACAUCUUAAAAACCACAAGAGGGUUCAUUGUCCAUUUUGAAAUUGUAAUUUUGUAGCAACAGUUACCGUACAUUCACAGCUCAUAAGAACAGGAAGCACAAAUCCCAUGGAUUAAAUGAAUUAAACAUUAAAUGGAUUAAAUUCUGGACAUCAAUGAUGCGAGUCCAUCUUCUUCCUUAGGAUGUGCAUAAAUAAAAUAUGUUAUAUUGUUAGUGCAGUUUCAUAAAUGUAGUACCUAAAUACCAAAAUGUCAGUGAAAUUUCUCUAAACACUGAUAAUACAUGUUUUUAAAAUAAUUGUGUAAAAAAUAAAGUGGUUUUGUUAAUGUAAGAUCUAAGGUCUAAUGAGUUUUGUGUAUCUUGGAAUCCUGAAUUGAAAUGCAUGAUUUUUAUCUACUAAGGUCUACUGUGCAGAAAUGUUCAAUGUAUUUACCAUUUAAGGUAUUUUCACAAUACUGUUGUAGAUUUGAUCAAAUGUAUUAAAUAAAAUGUGGCAGUAUGGCUUGAGUGUUUAAUGUAUAUAUAUUUUUUUCUUUUGGGGCAACGGGGAAUAAACAAUACAGUGAAGUUGCUUUACUAAUAUAAAUUUACCAAAAUAUAUUUUUAGUUUAGGUAAAACUAAAAAGGAAUGCUACUACAAUUUAAAAUGUUUAAUUGGGCCAAUAACAUGGGUUGGUAACCUAAUUUCGUUUCAAUUGUUUUAACGAAUUAUUUCUAAUUUAGCCAAUGUUAACAGACUAUUGCUACAAUUGAUAAAAUUACAUUUACAGAAUUUCACUUGGGCCAAUUGAAAAUUUUAGAUGUGACCAGUCACUAGAAAAUUUUGAGUUGGGAAGAUUAUAAUUUUUUU
Long non-coding RNA from Carassius gibelio (silver crucian carp), 1522 nucleotides. RefSeq lists it as uncharacterized. The transcript has 3 exons. The record is from RefSeq and is a predicted model, not a curated record. NCBI's taxonomy places the organism in Eukaryota, Metazoa, Chordata, Actinopteri, Cypriniformes, Cyprinidae.